RNAcentral lists this transfer RNA (71 nucleotides) under Marmota monax (woodchuck). RNAcentral describes it as "tRNA.Ala". The record is from RNAcentral. Lineage: Eukaryota; Metazoa; Chordata; Mammalia; Rodentia; Sciuridae.
GGGGUUGUGGCUCAGAGGUAGAGCACUCGCCUAGCACAUGUGAGGCACUGGGUUUGAUCCUCAGCACCACA